UUUUGAGUUUGAUCGUGGCUCAGGAUGAACGCUAGCGGGAGGCCUAACACAUGCAAGCCGAGCGGUAGAUUACUUUCGGGUAAUUGAGAGCGGCGUACGGGUGCGGAACACGUGUGCAACCUGCCUUUAUCAGGGGGAUAGCCUUUCGAAAGGAAGAUUAAUACCCCAUAAUAUAUUAUUCGGCAUCGGGUGAUAUUGAAAACUACGGUGGAUAGAGAUGGGCACGCGCAAGAUUAGCUAGUUGGUGAGGUAACGGCUCACCAAGGCGACGAUCUUUAGGGGGCCUGAGAGGGUGAUCCCCCACACUGGUACUGAGACACGGACCAGACUCCUACGGGAGGCAGCAGUGAGGAAUAUUGGACAAUGGGUGGAAGCCUGAUCCAGCCAUCCCGCGUGCAGGAAGACGGCCCUAUGGGUUGUAAACUGCUUUUAUCUGGGGAUAAACCUACUUACGUGUAAGUAGCUGAAGGUACCAGAAGAAUAAGCACCGGCUAACUCCGUGCCAGCCGCCGCCGUAACACAAAA
Molecule: ribosomal RNA, 525 nt
Filed under: Elizabethkingia meningoseptica
Lineage: Bacteria; Pseudomonadati; Bacteroidota; Flavobacteriia; Flavobacteriales; Weeksellaceae
Description: bacterial SSU rRNA
Rfam family: Bacterial small subunit ribosomal RNA
Source: RNAcentral